AUCUAUGUAGUAUAAUGAAUACAAUGCAUUUUCAAUGCAUAAAUAGGAGUCCUCUUCUUAGAUA
Molecule: transfer RNA, 64 nt
Filed under: Branchinecta paludosa
Lineage: Eukaryota; Metazoa; Arthropoda; Branchiopoda; Anostraca; Branchinectidae
Description: tRNA-Glu
Rfam family: tRNA
About the family: Transfer RNA (tRNA) molecules are approximately 80 nucleotides in length. Their secondary structure includes four short double-helical elements and three loops (D, anti-codon, and T loops). Further hydrogen bonds mediate the characteristic L-shaped molecular structure. tRNAs have two regions of fundamental functional importance: the anti-codon, which is responsible for specific mRNA codon recognition, and the 3' end, to which the tRNAs corresponding amino acid is attached (by aminoacyl-tRNA synthetases). tRNAs cope with the degeneracy of the genetic code in two manners: having more than one tRNA (with a specific anti-codon) for a particular amino acid; and 'wobble' base-pairing, i.e. permitting non-standard base-pairing at the 3rd anti-codon position.
Source: RNAcentral